This 348-nucleotide unclassified non-coding RNA is filed under the name soil metagenome. RNAcentral's name for it is "partial contains 5.8S ribosomal RNA, internal transcribed spacer 2, and large subunit ribosomal RNA". The stretch from base 1 to 120 matches the Rfam family "5.8S ribosomal RNA", at positions 35 to 154 of the family's 154-position model. The record is from RNAcentral.
GAUGAAGAACGUAGCGAAAUGCGAUAAGUAAUGUGAAUUGCAGAAUUCAGUGAAUCAUCGAAUCUUUGAACGCACAUUGCGCCCACCAGUAUUCUGGCGGGCAUGCCUGUCUGAGCGUCAUUUCAACCCUCAUGCCCCUAGGGCGUGGUGUUGGGGAUCGGCCAAAGCCCGCGAGGGACGGCCGGCCCCUAAAUCUAGUGGCGGACCCGUCGUGGCCUCCUCUGCGAAGUAGUGAUAUUCCGCAUCGGAGAGCGAUGAGCCCCUGCCGUUAAACCCCCAACUUUCCAAGGUUGACCUCAGAUCAGGUAGGAAUACCCGCUGAACUUAAGCAUAUCAAUAAGCGGAGGA